AGUCAUAUGCUUGUCUCAAAGAUUAAGCCAUGCAUGUCUCAGUACAAGCCAAAUUAAGGUGAAACCGCGAAAGGCUCAUUAAAUCAGUUAUGGUUCCUUAGAUCGUACCCACACUUACUUGGAUAACUGUGGUAAUUCUAGAGCUAAUACAUGCAAAUAGAGCUCCUACCGGAGACGGAAGGAGCGCUUUUAUUAGAUCAAAACCAAUCGGUGACGCUUGCGUUACCGUACUCCUUGGUGACUCUGAAUAACUUGUUGCUGAUCGCACGGUCUCGAACCGGCGACGCAUCUUUCAAAUGUCUGCCUUAUCAACUGUCGAUGGUAGGUUCUGCGCCUACCAUGGUUGUAACGGGUAACGGGGAAUCAGGGUUCGAUUCCGGAGAGGGAGCCUGAGAAACGGCUACCACAUCCAAGGAAGGCAGCAGGCGCGCAAAUUACCCACUCCCGGCACGGGGAGGUAGUGACGAAAAAUAACGAUACGGGACUCAUCCGAGGCCCCGUAAUCGGAAUGAGUACACUCUAAACCCUUUAACGAGGAUCAAUUGGAGGGCCAGUCUGGUGCCAGCAGCCGCGGUAAUUCCAGCUCCAAUAGCGUAU
Molecule: ribosomal RNA, 597 nt
Filed under: Limnebius sp. 3 IR-2015
Lineage: Eukaryota; Metazoa; Arthropoda; Insecta; Coleoptera; Hydraenidae
Description: SSU rRNA
Rfam family: Eukaryotic small subunit ribosomal RNA
Source: RNAcentral